UGUGAAGUUACUUAAACAACCAGGAGGUUGGCUUAGAAGCAGCCAUCCUUUAAAGAAAGCGUAAUAGCUCACUGGUCUAGUGAUUUUGCGCGGAAAAUAUAACGGGGCUAAAGUAAGUACCGAAGCUGUAGACUUGCGCACAACUUAGAUUAUUUAAGUUUAGAAUAUGAGAAACUAAGUUAUGUUUAGUUAUAUUUUUACUGAUUUUUAUAGAGUAAAGAUAGAAAUAAAACUUAGUAAAAUCAGUAAAAAUAUUCUUAGGCUAAAGUUAAGUAGUUUAAGUUGUGUGCAAGUGGUAGGAGAGCGUUCUAUUUGCGUCGAAGGUAUACCGGUAAGGAGUGCUGGAGCGAAUAGAAGUGAGCAUGCAGGCAUGAGUAGCGAUAAUUAAUGUGAGAAUCAUUAACGCCGUAAACCCAAGGUUUCCUACGCGAUGCUCGUCAUCGUAGGGUUAGUCGGGUCCUAAGUCGAGUCCGAAAGGGGUAGACGAUGGCAAAUUGGUUAAUAUUCCAAUACCAACAUUAGUGUGCGAUGGAAGGACGCUUAGGGCUAAGGGGGCUAGCGGAUGGAAGUGCUAGUCUAAGGUCGUAGGAGGUUAUACAGGCAAAUCCGUAUAACAAUACUCCGAGAACUGAAAGGCUUUUUGAAGUCUUCGGAUGGAUAGAAGAACCCCUGAUGCCGUCGAGCCAAGAAAAGUUUCUAAGUUUAGCUAAUGUUGCCCGUACCGUAAACCGACACAGGUGGGUGGGAUGAGUAUUCUAAGGCGCGUGGAAGAACUCUCUUUAAGGAACUCUGCAAAAUAGCACCGUAUCUUCGGUAUAAGGUGUGGUUAGCUUUGUAUUAGGAUUUACUCCGAAAGCAAGGAAACUUACAACAAAGAGUCCCUCCCGACUGUUUACCAAAAACACAGCACUCUGCUAACUCGUAAGAGGAUGUAUAGGGUGUGACGCCUGCCCGGUGCUCGAAGGUUAAUUGAUGGGGUUAGCAUUAGCGAAGCUCUUGAUCGAAGCCCGAGUAAACGGCGGCCGUAACUAUAACGGUCCUAAGGUAGCGAAAUUCCUUGUCGGUUAAAUACCGACCUGCAUGAAUGGCGUAACGAGAUGGGAGCUGUCUCAAAGAGGGAUCCAGUGAAAUUGUAGUGGAGGUGAAAAUUCCUCCUACCCGCGGCAAGACGGAAAGACCCCGUGGACCUUUACUACAGCUUGACACUGCUACUUGGAUAAGAAUGUGCAGGAUAGGUGGGAGGCUUUGAGUAUAUGACGCCAGUUGUAUAUGAGCCAUUGUUGAGAUACCACUCUUUCUUAUUUGGGUAGCUAACCAGCUUGAGUUAUCCUCAAGUGGGACAAUGUCUGGUGGGUAGUUUGACUGGGGCGGUCGCCUCCCAAAUAAUAACGGAGGCUUACAAAGGUUGGCUCAGAACGGUUGGAAAUCGUUCGUAGAGUAUAAAGGUAUAAGCCAGCUUAACUGCAAGACAUACAAGUCAAGCAGAGACGAAAGUCGGUCUUAGUGAUCCGGUGGUUCUGUGUGGAAGGGCCAUCGCUCAAAGGAUAAAAGGUACCCCGGGGAUAACAGGCUGAUCUCCCCCAAGAGCUCACAUCGACGGGGAGGUUUGGCACCUCGAUGUCGGCUCAUCGCAUCCUGGGGCUGGAGCAGGUCCCAAGGGUAUGGCUGUUCGCCAUUUAAAGCGGUACGCGAGCUGGGUUCAGAACGUCGUGAGACAGUUCGGUCCCUAUCUGCCGUGGGCGUAAGAAGAUUGAAGAGAUUUGACCCUAGUACGAGAGGACCGGGUUGAACAAACCACUGGUGUAGCUGUUGUUCUGCCAAGAGCAUCGCAGCGUAGCUAAGUUUGGAAAGGAUAAACGCUGAAAGCAUCUAAGCGUGAAGCCAACUCUAAGAUGAAUCUUCUCUAAGCUCUCUAGAAGACUACUAGUUUGAUAGGCUGGGUGUGUAAUGGAUGAAAGUCCUUUAGCUGACCAGUACUAAUAGAGCGUUUGGCUUAUCUUU
RNAcentral lists this ribosomal RNA (2001 nucleotides) under Campylobacter jejuni. RNAcentral's name for it is "partial 23S ribosomal RNA". It matches the Rfam family "Bacterial large subunit ribosomal RNA", at positions 1074 to 2925 of the family's 2925-position model. Lineage: Bacteria; Pseudomonadati; Campylobacterota; Epsilonproteobacteria; Campylobacterales; Campylobacteraceae. The record is from RNAcentral.